GAUGAACGCUGGCGGCGUGCCUAAUACAUGCAAGUCGAGCGAACAGACGAGGAGCUUGCUCCUCUGACGUUAGCGGCGGACGGGUGAGUAACACGUGGAUAACCUACCUAUAAGACUGGGAUAACUUCGGGAAACCGGAGCUAAUACCGGAUAAUAUAUUGAACCGCAUGGUUCAAUAGUGAAAGACGGUUUUGCUGUCACUUAUAGAUGGAUCCGCGCCGCAUUAGCUAGUUGGUAAGGUAACGGCUUACCAAGGCAACGAUGCGUAGCCGACCUGAGAGGGGGAUCGGCCACACUGGAGCUGAGACACGGCACAGACUCCGACGGGAGGCAGCAGUAGGGAAUCUUCCGCAAUGGGCGAAAGCUUGACGGAGCAACGCCGCGUGGAUGAUGAAGGUCUGCGGAUCGUAAAACUCUGUUAUUAGGGAAGAACAAAUGUGUAAGUAACUAUGCACGUCUGGACGGUACCUAAUCAGAAAGCCACGGCUAACUACGU
Molecule: ribosomal RNA, 496 nt
Filed under: uncultured bacterium
Lineage: Bacteria
Description: partial 16S ribosomal RNA
Rfam family: Bacterial small subunit ribosomal RNA
Source: RNAcentral